GCCAGGUUUGCGCAGGCGCAGCGCGGCCGCGGGUGGGCGGAACUGGUCGGGAUGAGUGGCGGAGGGACAGAGACCCCUGUGGGUUGUGAGGCCGCCCCGGGCGGUGGCAGCAAGAAGAGGGACUCCCUGGGGACUGCAGGCUCAGCGCACCUCAUUAUCAAGGAUCUUGGAGAAAUUCAUUCAAGGCUUUUGGAUCACAGACCAGUUAUUCAAGGUGAAACUCGUUAUUUUGUAAAAGAAUUUGAAGAAAAGCGUGGUCUUCGAGAAAUGCGAGUUCUUGAAAAUUUGAAGAAUAUGAUCCAUGAAACAAAUGAACAUACUCUUCCCAAAUGUAGAGACACAAUGCGAGACAACCUCAGCCAAGUUCUCCAGAGAUUGCAAGCAGCUAAUGAUUCAGUCUGUAGACUCCAACAGAGGGAACAGGAACGAAAAAAGAUUCAUAGUGACCACUUAGUAGCUAGUGAGAAACAGCAUACGCUCCAGUGGGACGACUUCAUGAAGGAGCAACCCAACAAAAGGGCUGAAGUGGAUGAAGAGCACAGAAAAGCCAUGGGGAGGCUUAAAGAACAAUAUGCUGAGAUGGAGAAGGACCUAGCGAAAUUUUCAACUUUUUAAGAACUUGAACCACAACAAUCACAAACUAAUGUGAAUAUGUUCACCUCUCUCCUGAAAAAUAUUCCCACCAAACCAUUUAGCCUCUGCUUCAAGCUUAGCAAUAUAUUCAGUGGCACUCUUGUAUCAGAAGAAAGAAGCUUCUACUGGCAUUCUGAUUGGAUGUUUAAAGAAAGGCUUGACAGGCUCAUCAAUCAUUUGCUGGUACCUGGACUAAAAAGCACACUUGCUGACACCAAGGCAUGUUGGAAUUUUCUUAAUUCUCUUUCAGUGGAUGGAAAAAAAAAUACUUCCAAAAAUAUCCCACACAUGAAAAGGGAGGGGAGCCUUAAAUGAAAAUUCCCUUUGUACCAUGGACACUUUUUGGAAUGCGAUUAAUUGCCAACACAUCAUUGAACGAAUGCUGUAACCAAGAAAUUAAGAUUGUAUGUGUGAGGGGAAUAUAUUCUUAACUGUGGCUACCCAGCUUGUAUAGCAAAGAUUUCUGAUAGUUUGUGUUCAUCUCAUGUGAAUAAUACUUUACC
Molecule: RNA transcript, 1136 nt
Organism: Cercocebus atys (sooty mangabey)
Lineage: Eukaryota; Metazoa; Chordata; Mammalia; Primates; Cercopithecidae
Gene: BLOC1S5
Gene name: biogenesis of lysosomal organelles complex-1, subunit 5, muted
Exons: 6
Source: RefSeq, a predicted model, not a curated record